GACCUUGCCCGAGAGGGUUGGGUAAUCUUCUCAAAGUGCAUCGUGAUGGGGAUAGAUUAUUGCAAUUAUUAAUCUUGAACGAGGAAUUCCUAGUAAGCGCGAGUCAUCAGCUCGUGCUGAUUACGUCCCUGCCCUUUGUACACACCGCCCGUCGCUCCUACCGAUUGGGUGUUCCGGUGAAUAACUCGGACUGCUGCAGUCUUCUGCUUCUGAAAACUGUGGCGGAAAGUGUGGUGAUCUUAACACC
Molecule: ribosomal RNA, 247 nt
Filed under: Amyloodinium ocellatum
Lineage: Eukaryota; Dinophyceae; Thoracosphaerales; Thoracosphaeraceae
Description: partial 18S ribosomal RNA
Rfam family: Eukaryotic small subunit ribosomal RNA
Source: RNAcentral